UCUGCUUAGAGGCGGGGCGGUCUCACCCCGAGACUCGUCCCUAAGCCCAGUCCGGGUGGCCCUGGCCUUGCGGAGGCUCCUCUCCAGGUGUCUGUCUGUCUCUCACUCCUCCCUUCUCCUGGUCCCCCUGCCUGCCUGUUGCUCCUCAUCUCUUGCCUCCCCUCUGGCUCUGCAGCCCUCACUCUUCCCUUGGGCUGUCCGACUGCUUCCUUCCUAAUGGCCUUUGGCUUCUGUCUCCUCCAACGCCCCCCAUCCCCUCUGUUCCUGGCCUUUGCUCUUGUGGCUGGGGGGCCGGAUGGUUCCGUUUGGAAUGAGGCCUUUUUGAUGACCUGCCUUCUCGGGCAGCCCCAUCUUGAUGCUACCACCCACCCCAGCCCCCUCCCUCUGCCCAGAGCCUGCGGCCAGCACUGCCCCCAUCUUCCCCAAGCUUCACCCGUGUUUCCUUCCUUCACAGGUCUGGAGAUGCCAGAGGCAGGGGUGCCUCACACCCUCCUCCCACAACUGGCUCCGGCCCUCUCUGCACAUCUGCCCUGGGCCUCGAUUGGGCUCUGGGGCCAAAGCUGCUUCACGGCCCCGGGGGCACAGGACACUGGCCUGCUCCUGCUACGCACCUGCCUCUCUGACGGCCGUGGCUUGGCUUCCCUGGCUCCGCGGGCCUAUUCCUCCCAGGUGCCCUUUUGGCCUUUGCGAGGGAGCAAGGAAUAGGCUGGAAGUUUCCAGGGUAUCUGCCUUCUGCUCGGGCUCCUGUGGUGGGCCCUCUGUGCCCAGUGCUCACACCUGCCUCCCGACCAGUGGGCCUGCUCUAGUCGUGAAGCCCAGGGUGGGCGGCGGGGCUCCCACACUCCCCAGCCCACCCUCACCCCAGCCUCUUCCCCGCAGUAGGGGCUCCUCAGAAGCUGGUCUCGCACUCCCCUCCACCCAGCUAGAGGUAGGAUAUCCCUGAAUCCUGGGCUCCCAGCCCUAAAACUCACUGCCUCCCCCAAGGGCCCCCUCCAAGGAGGGUGUGGGGGAGCCCUGAGGGCUGCCUCUCCGCCAGUCAGCCACAGAGACCCUCCUCCUUUCUCGAGGAAAAGACCUCCCCCUGAACCCCUAAAAAUGUUUACAGUCUCUGCUGGCCCCCUCCGUGUAAAUACCACGACCACCCGUGCGUCACCCAGCCCGCCCGGCCCGGCCCGGUCGCUGCCAUCUCUCUUUCUGGGAGUUUAGACAAUUUUGCCCUUGGAUUUUUUUCUCUCUUGAUUUCUCCCUUUGCUUUUGGGGGGUAACUGGGUAUUUGGGAGGAAGGGAGUGGGGAGGGCUAAAGGGGUUUAUUA
RNAcentral lists this long non-coding RNA (1313 nucleotides) under Marmota monax (woodchuck). The record is from RNAcentral. Lineage: Eukaryota; Metazoa; Chordata; Mammalia; Rodentia; Sciuridae.